UACAGAGGUCCCAAGCGUUGUUCGGAUUCACUGGGCGUAAAGGGUGCGUAGGUGGUGAGGUAAGUCGGAUGUGAAAGCUCGGAGCUCAACUCCGAAAUGGCAUUGGAAACUACCUUGCUCGAGGGUUGGAGGGGGGACUGGAAUACUUGGUGUAGCAGUGAAAUGCGUAGAUAUCAAGUGGAACACCAGUGGCGAAGGCGAGUCCCUGGACAACUCCUGACACUGAGGAGCGAAAGCGUGGGGAGCGAACAGG
Molecule: ribosomal RNA, 253 nt
Filed under: uncultured bacterium
Lineage: Bacteria
Description: partial 16S ribosomal RNA
Rfam family: Bacterial small subunit ribosomal RNA
Source: RNAcentral